RNAcentral lists this ribosomal RNA (460 nucleotides) under uncultured bacterium. RNAcentral's name for it is "partial 16S ribosomal RNA". It matches the Rfam family "Bacterial small subunit ribosomal RNA", at positions 338 to 795 of the family's 1533-position model. The record is from RNAcentral.
CCUACGGGAGGCAGCAGUAAGGAAUAUUGGUCAAUGGACGAGAGUCUGAACCAGCCAAGUCGCGUGAAGGAUGACUGCCCUAUGAGUUUUAAACUUCUUUUAUAUAGGAGUAAAAUGUUCCACGUGUGGGAUUUUGUAUGUACCAUAUGAAUAAGGAUCGGCUAACUCCGUGCCAGCAGCCGCGGUAAUACGGAGGAUCCGAGCGUUAUCCGGAUUUAUUGGGCUUAAAGGGAGCGUAGGUGGAUUGUUAAGUCAGUUGUGAAAGUUUGCGGCUCAACCGUAAAAUUGCAGUUGAAACUGGCAGUCUUGAGUACAGUAGAGGUGGGCGGAAUUCGUGGUGUAGCGGUGAAAUGCUUAGAUAUCACGAAGAACUCCGAUUGCGAAGGCAGUUCACUGGACCGCAACUGACACUGAGGCUCGAAAGUGUGGGUAUCAAACAGGAUUAGAUACCCGGGUAGUC